GAUGAACGCUGGCGGCGUGCCUAACACAUGCAAGUCGAGCGGAUUUAUUUGAAAGCUUGCUUUCAAAUAAAUUAGCGGCGGACGGGUGAGUAACGCGUGGGUAAUCUACCUUAUACAGGGGGAUAACGAUGAGAAAUUAUCGCUAAAACCGCAUAAGCUUACACCGUGGCAUCACGGAGUAAGAAAAAAUUUAUUGGUAUAAGAUGAGCCUGCGUCUGAUUAGCUAGUUGGUGGGGUAAAGGCCUACCAAGGCGACGAUCAGUAGCCGACCUGAGAGGGUGAUCGGCCACAUUGGGACUGAGACACGGCCCAAACUCCUACGGGAGGCAGCAGUGGGGAAUAUUGCACAAUGGACGAAAGUCUGAUGCAGCAACGCCGCGUGAGGGAAGAAGGUCUUUGGAUUGUAAACCUCUAUCGACAGGGACGAAUAAAUGACGGUACCUGAGUAAGAAGCACCGGCUAACUACGUGCCAGCCGCCGCAGUAAAAC
This 489-nucleotide ribosomal RNA is filed under the name uncultured bacterium. Its description in RNAcentral is "bacterial SSU rRNA". It matches the Rfam family "Bacterial small subunit ribosomal RNA", at positions 28 to 526 of the family's 1533-position model. The record is from RNAcentral.